AUGCAGGGGGUACUUAGCAAAUGGGCGCAAAAGGAGUUCUGUUCUGUACAAAACAGAAUAAAGUCGCUUAAAGAUGCUCUCAAGGGCUUCCGUAUGCUACAUCAAACUCCCGAAAUCGAAGAGAAGAUGAGGCGAACAGAAUCUGAAUUAGAUGAAUGGCUUUACAGGGAGGAGAUGAUGUGGAGACAACGGUCUCGGAUAACCUGGUUAAGGGAAGGGGAUAGGAACACGGAAUUCUUCCACCUCAAAGCAACCUGGCCCAGAAAGAAAAAUAAAAUAACAAAACUGAAACGUGAGGAUGGAAGUUGGGAGAGAAAACAGAGGAAAUACAUGGGGAGAUAA
RNAcentral lists this ribosomal RNA (342 nucleotides) under Triticum aestivum (bread wheat). RNAcentral's name for it is "partial small subunit ribosomal RNA". Lineage: Eukaryota; Viridiplantae; Streptophyta; Magnoliopsida; Poales; Poaceae. The record is from RNAcentral.